AGCACACAAAGCUUCGUCAAGAAUCAAGACUUCAACGCAAGGCAUCCCCUUGGUUAAAUGGAUUCCAACUUGGACUCCAAGACCACGCUCUUCCGUUCAGGACUUUAAAAAGGAAAACACUCUCAGCACAUCAUCACAACAAAGAAGGGAACAUGUCGUUGGGUUGCUUGCUGAGGCAUUUAUUCGAACAGGUGGUGGGCACCUCAAAGGCAUGGCAAAGGGGCUUACUUCGGGGACUCCAAGGCUUUUUCCAGCGAGGGGAGGUGAAGUUGUUCCUCCUUGCGUCUCUGUAGAUCCGUUACUGUGGACAGGUGUCAAGA
Long non-coding RNA from Prunus avium (sweet cherry), 320 nucleotides. RefSeq lists it as uncharacterized. The record is from RefSeq and is a predicted model, not a curated record. Lineage: Eukaryota; Viridiplantae; Streptophyta; Magnoliopsida; Rosales; Rosaceae.